GACGAACGCUGGCGGCGUGCUUAACACAUGCAAGUCGAACGGUAAGGCCCUUCGGGGUACACGAGUGGCGAACGGGUGAGUAACACGUGGGUGAUCUGCCCUGCACUUCGGGAUAAGCCUGGGAAACUGGGUCUAAUACCGGAUAGGACCACUGCCUGCAUGGGUGGUGGUGGAAAGCUUUUGCGGUGGGGGAGGGGCCCGCGGCUUAUCAGCUUGUGGGUGGGGUGAUGGCCUAGCAAGGCGACGACGGGUAGCCGGCCUGAGAGGGGGACCGGCCAAACUGGGACGGAGAUACGGCCCAGACUCCUACGGGAGGCAGCAGUGGGGAAUAUUGCACAAUGGGCGCAAGCCUGAUGCAGCGACGCCGCGUGAGGGAUGACGGCCUUCGGGUUGUAAACCUCUUUCAGCAUCGACGAAGCGCAAGUGACGGUAGGUGCAGAAGAAGGACCGGCCAACUACGUGCCAGCAGCCGCCGUAA
RNAcentral lists this ribosomal RNA (478 nucleotides) under uncultured bacterium. Its description in RNAcentral is "partial 16S ribosomal RNA". It matches the Rfam family "Bacterial small subunit ribosomal RNA", at positions 28 to 523 of the family's 1533-position model. The record is from RNAcentral.